Molecule: long non-coding RNA, 1449 nt
Filed under: Oryctolagus cuniculus (rabbit)
Lineage: Eukaryota; Metazoa; Chordata; Mammalia; Lagomorpha; Leporidae
Description: lncRNA (ENSOCUG00000038854.1)
Source: RNAcentral
GCCUGCCCUCGAGGGAGCACCUCGGCUUGUGGCUUCCAGGUACUGUUCUCGGUUGCAGGUUUUCAAAAGACAAAGCACCGCUCACAAUAGGCAAAACUUGGAAUCAACAGAGGUGUUCAUCAUUAGAUGAACAGAUAAAGAAACUGUAUAUACACAGUGAAAUAUUAUUUAGCUAUAAAAAUGUAAUUCUACCAUUUGCAGAAAAUGAACAUACCUGGAGGGAAUCAAGCUGAAUGAAAAAAGCUGGUCCAUGAAAGACAAAUACUGCAUGUUCUCUUUCAUGUGGGAGCUAAGAUUUAAAACGAGAGAAAAAAAUGUCUGAAAUGUCUGUCUGUAUCAAUAUUGCAACAAAUACAGUUUUGUAAAACUUUCUUUUACCUUUGUCAAACCAAUGGUUAAGAAUGUUAUACCACUAUAGUUUAAAUGAUAUGUGAUUAAUAUUUAAUGUAUAUAGUUGAAAUGGUCACAUUUCCUUUCAAUUAUUGUUUAUAGUUGUUGUCUGUAUUCUCACUAUACUAGGGUCUUUAUGCUUUUUUGUUAAACUUCCUUUUCCAUGAAAUAGUAACCAUUUUUACUAUAAUGUAAAUUUAAAAUAUGUUUGAGCCUACUGCCCAGAGUGACAGCCUUCCCACAACUUCCUGCCUGUAAGUGACUGAUCCAAGAUCCGUCUCUGCUGAGACAUGGAGCUCUGGACCUUGAACACUGACACUCGUUUUUGUGACCGUGAUACGAGCCUUGAAAAGGCAGCUUUUACAAAUAGUGUUAGUCAUGUGUAAUAUUAUAUAACUAUGCUUUGACCCUAUGUUUUGAUCCUAUGCAAGGUAUCUGUAAAUAGUGCUGGAGACCUUGAUGUACAUAUACUAUUAGAAUUGGAUAGCUCUUAAAAUUACUUUAACACUGUAUACUGUGAUCUAUGGAUUAAUGAAUAAGUUCAAGUAGUAUUGUUGAUAUUGAGUCCUCUAGUCAUUAAGGAAAUAGUGUUACUCUGAUAGUUAAGUAUUAUAGUAAGUUAAGUAGAUAAGUAGUUACGUUAAGCUAAGUGAAACAGUGUUACUCUGUUAAGUAUUAUAGUAAGUAAGUUAAGUAGAUAAGUAGUUACGUUAAGCUAAGUGAUUCAGUAAGUGUGUUAAGUUAGCUAUAAGUUAUAAGUGAUAUUAUUGGCAUUAUUGAUAGUGAUGUUAGUGAUACUGAUGUGUAUUAAGUAACUAUGUUAAGUUAGGUGAUUAAGCUAAGUAGUUCAGCUAAGUAGUUGCGUUAACCUAAGUAGCUAAGUAGUUAAGUCAUGAUUAAGUAGUGAUGUUAAAUUUAUUGAUAAGUGUAUUAAAUAGUAUAGAUUGAUAAGUAUAUUGGUACUGAUAAGUGUAUUGACCUCAGUGAGCAUGCUGAUGAGUAGUAUGAUAAAAAAAAAUGCCUGGUGUGUAAGCAAUAAAAUCUCUCAUUGGAAAGACA